CAGUGGGUAGCGCAGUCUGGUUAGCGUGCUUGAUUGGAAAUCGAGAGGUCGCCGGUUCGAAUCCGGCCCUACUCU
RNAcentral lists this transfer RNA (75 nucleotides) under Gemmobacter lutimaris. It matches the Rfam family "tRNA". From Rfam's summary of the family: Transfer RNA (tRNA) molecules are approximately 80 nucleotides in length. Their secondary structure includes four short double-helical elements and three loops (D, anti-codon, and T loops). Lineage: Bacteria; Pseudomonadati; Pseudomonadota; Alphaproteobacteria; Rhodobacterales; Paracoccaceae. The record is from Rfam by way of RNAcentral.